AUAGGCGAUUUUAAUGAGAUUCUGUACUCCCACGAGAAAGAGGGUGGUGCUCCUCGUCCAGUCCGUAUGAUGCAAAACUUUCGAGGCACUCUAGUUGAUUGCGAGCUAAAUGACAUGGGCUUCACCGGAGAGCAGUUUACUUGGAGGCGACGAUGUAUUAGGGAAUGUCUAGAUCGUGCAGCGUGUAAAGAAGGAUUUCAUGGCUUGUUUGCUAAUGCAAUUAUUACCAAUGUGCCACACUUGAAGCCUGGUCAUCGAACGUUAGUUUUGGAGGCUGAGGGGGAUUCGAACAUCAUUCGACAACAAGGACAGCGACAUCAGCAGUUUGAGGCACGUUGGUUUAAGGAGGAUGGCAUGGUUGAUAGGGUGACUGUGCACGGUCGCGUACCCUAG
This 393-nucleotide ribosomal RNA is filed under the name Triticum aestivum (bread wheat). Its description in RNAcentral is "partial small subunit ribosomal RNA". The record is from RNAcentral. Lineage: Eukaryota; Viridiplantae; Streptophyta; Magnoliopsida; Poales; Poaceae.